This 706-nucleotide ribosomal RNA is filed under the name uncultured bacterium. Its description in RNAcentral is "bacterial SSU rRNA". It matches the Rfam family "Bacterial small subunit ribosomal RNA", at positions 8 to 762 of the family's 1533-position model. The record is from RNAcentral.
AGAGUUUGAUCCUGGCUCAGAGCGAACGCUGGCGGCAGGCCUAACACAUGCAAGUCGAACGAACCCUUCGGGGUUAGUGGCGGACGGGUGAGUAAUACGUGGGAACGUGCCCUUUGGUACGGAAUAACUCAGGGAAACUUGAGCUAAUACCGUAUGUGCCCUUCGGGGGAAAGAUUUAUCGCCAUUGGAGCGGCCCGCGUCUGAUUAGCUAGUUGGUGAGGUAAUGGCUCACCAAGGCGACGAUCAGUAGCUGGUCUGAGAGGAUGACCAGCCACAUUGGGACUGAGACACGGCCCAAACUCCUACGGGAGGCAGCAGUGGGGAAUCUUGCGCAAUGGGCGAAAGCCUGACGCAGCCAUGCCGCGUGGAUGAUGAAGGUCUUAGGAUUGUAAAAUCCUUUCACCGGGGACGAUAAUGACGGUACCCGGAGAAGAAGCCCCGGCUAACUUCGUGCCAGCAGCCGCGGUAAUACGAAGGGGGCUAGCGUUGCUCGGAAUUACUGGGCGUAAAGGGCGCGUAGGCGGACGUUUAAGUCGGGGGUGAAAUCCCAGGGCUCAACCCUGGAACUGCCUUCGAUACUGGAUGUCUUGAGUGCGGGAGAGGUGUGUGGAACUCCGAGUGUAGAGGUGAAAUUCGUAGAUAUUCGGAAGACACCAGUGGCGAAGCGACACACUGGCCCGUUACUGACGCUGAGGCGCGAAAGCGU